Molecule: ribosomal RNA, 525 nt
Filed under: Latilactobacillus sakei
Lineage: Bacteria; Bacillati; Bacillota; Bacilli; Lactobacillales; Lactobacillaceae
Description: bacterial SSU rRNA
Rfam family: Bacterial small subunit ribosomal RNA
Source: RNAcentral
AGUUUGAUCCUGGCUCAGGACGAACGCUGGCGGCGUGCCUAAUACAUGCAAGUCGAACGCACUCUCGUUUAGAUUGAAGGAGCUUGCUCCUGAUUGAUAAACAUUUGAGUGAGUGGCGGACGGGUGAGUAACACGUGGGUAACCUGCCCUAAAGUGGGGGAUAACAUUUGGAAACAGAUGCUAAUACCGCAUAAAACCUAACACCGCAUGGUGUAGGGUUGAAAGAUGGUUUCGGCUAUCACUUUAGGAUGGACCCGCGGUGCAUUAGUUAGUUGGUGAGGUAAAGGCUCACCAAGACCGUGAUGCAUAGCCGACCUGAGAGGGUAAUCGGCCACACUGGGACUGAGACACGGCCCAGACUCCUACGGGAGGCAGCAGUAGGGAAUCUUCCACAAUGGACGAAAGUCUGAUGGAGCAACGCCGCGUGAGUGAAGAAGGUUUUCGGAUCGUAAAACUCUGUUGUUGGAGAAGAAUGUAUCUGAUAGUAACUGAUCAGGUAGUGACGGUAUCCAACCAGAAAGCCAC